CAUGCAGUCGAGCGGUAACAGAUCUAGCUUGCUACCCGCUGACGAGCGGCGGACGGGUGAGUAAUGCAUAGGAAUCUGCCCGAUAGUGGGGGAUAACCUGGGGAAACCCAGGCUAAUACCGCAUACGUCCUACGGGAGAAAGGGGGCUUCGGCUCCCGCUAUUGGAUGAGCCUAUGUCGGAUUAGCUAGUUGGUAAGGUAAUGGCUUACCAAGGCAACGAUCCGUAGCUGGUCUGAGAGGAUGAUCAGCCACAUCGGGACUGAGACACGGCCCGAACUCCUACGGGAGGCAGCAGUGGGGAAUAUUGGACAAUGGGGGCAACCCUGAUCCAGCCAUGCCGCGUGUGUGAAGAAGGCCCUCGGGUUGUAAAGCACUUUCAGCGAGGAAGAACGCCUAUCGGUUAAUACCCGGUAGGAAAGACAUCACUCGCAGAAGAAGCACCGGCUAACUCCGUGCCAGCAGCCGCGGUAAUACGGAGGGUGCAAGCGUUAAUCGGAAUUACUGGGCGUAAAGCGCGCGUAGGUGGCUUGAUAAGCCGGUUGUGAAAGCCCCGGGCUCAACCUGGGAACGGCAUCCGGAACUGUCAGGCUAGAGUGCAGGAGAGGAAGGUAGAAUUCCCGGUGUAGCGGUGAAAUGCGUAGAGAUCGGGAGGAAUACCAGUGGCGAAGGCGGCCUUCUGGACUGACACUGACACUGAGGUGCGAAAGCGUGGGUAGCAAACAGGAUUAGAUACCCUGGUAGUCCACGCCGUAAACGAUGUCGACCAGCCGUUGGGUGCCUAGAGCACUUUGUGGCGAAGUUAACGCGAUAAGUCGACCGCCUGGGGAGUACGGCCGCAAGGUUAAAACUCAAAUGAAUUGACGGGGGCCCGCACAAGCGGUGGAGCAUGUGGUUUAAUUCGAUGCAACGCGAAGAACCUUACCUACCCUUGACAUCUACAGAAGCCGGAAGAGAUUCUGGUGUGCCUUCGGGAA
This 974-nucleotide ribosomal RNA is filed under the name Vreelandella titanicae. RNAcentral describes it as "bacterial SSU rRNA". It matches the Rfam family "Bacterial small subunit ribosomal RNA", at positions 54 to 1026 of the family's 1533-position model. The record is from RNAcentral. Lineage: Bacteria; Pseudomonadati; Pseudomonadota; Gammaproteobacteria; Oceanospirillales; Halomonadaceae.